RNAcentral lists this ribosomal RNA (1339 nucleotides) under bacterium enrichment culture clone LA86. Its description in RNAcentral is "16S ribosomal RNA". It matches the Rfam family "Bacterial small subunit ribosomal RNA", at positions 90 to 1439 of the family's 1533-position model. The record is from RNAcentral.
GAUUAGUGGCGCACGGGUGAGUAAUGUAUAGCUAAUGUGCCCCUUAGAGGGGGAUAACAGUUGGAAACGACUGCUAAUACCCCAUACUCCUUCUUCUCAUAAGGGAAGUUGGGAAAGUUUUUUCGCUAAGGGAUCGGGCUAUAUGGUAUCAGCUUGUUGGUGAGGUAAUGGCUCACCAAGGCUAUGACGCCUAUCUGGUCUGAGAGGAUGAUCAGACACACUGGAACUGAGACACGGUCCAGACUCCUACGGGAGGCAGCAGUGGGGAAUAUUACACAAUGGAGGAAACUCUGAUGUAGCAACGCCGCGUGGAGGAUGACACAUUUCGGUGCGUAAACUCCUUUUAUGUGAGAAGAUAAUGACGGUAUCACAUGAAUAAGCACCGGCUAACUCCGUGCCAGCAGCCGCGGUAAUACGGAGGGUGCAAGCGUUACUCGGAAUCACUGGGCGUAAAGCGCGCGCAGGCGGCUUUGUAAGUUGGAUGUGAAAUCCUAUGGCUCAACCAUAGAACUGCAUCCAAAACUACUUAGCUAGAGUCUGGGAGGGGAAGAUGGAAUUAGUGGUGUAGGGGUAAAAUCCGUAGAGAUCACUAGGAAUACCAAAAGCGAAGGCGAUCUUCUGGAACAGUACUGACGCUGAGGCGCGAAAGCGUGGGGAGCAAACAGGAUUAGAUACCCUGGUAGUCCACGCCCUAAACGAUGAAUGUUAGUCGUCGGAGAGCUCGUCUCUUCGGUGAUGCAGCUAACGCAGCAAAAAUACAUUGCUCCGAGGGAGUACGGAAGCAAGAUUAAAAGGUCAAAGGAAUAGACGGGGGACCCACACAAAGCGGUGGAGCAUGUGGUUUAAUUUGAGGAUACGGGAAGACCCUUACGUAUCCUUGACAUUGAUGGAAUUAGCUAGAGAUAGCGGAGUGCCCUACGGGGAGCUUGAAACCAGGUGCUGCAGGGCUGACGUCAGCUCGUGUCAAGAGAAGUUGGGUGUAAGUCCAGCAAUGAGCGCAACCCUGGUCGCUAGUUGCCAAACGGUUCGGCCGAGGACGAAAGUGAGACCGCCUUCCUAAGGAGGAGGAAGGUGAGGAUGACGUCAAGUCAUCAUGGCCCUUCCGCCCAGGGGGCCACACGUGCAUCAAUGGGAUGUACAAUGAGGACGCAAUCCCGCGAGGUGGAGCAACUCUAUAAAACUUCUCUCAGUUCGGAUAGUAGUCUGCAACUGGACUGCACGAAGGAGGAAUCACUAGUAGUGGUAGAUCAGCCAUGCUACGGUGAAUACGUUCCCGGUUAUGGCACUCACCGCCCGUCACACCAUGGGAGUUGAUUCCACCCGAAGCGGGGAAGCUAAC